UACGUAGGGCGCAAGCGUUAUCCGGAAUUAUUGGGCGUAAAGGGUGCGUAGGCGGUUUGGUAAGUCUUAUGUGAAAUCUACAGGCUCAACUUGUAGUCUGCAUGAGAAACUGCCGGGCUUGAGUAUGGGAGAGGUGAGUGGAAUUCCUGGUGCAGCGGCGAAAUGCGUAGAUAUCAGGAGGAACACCGGUGGUGUAAACGGCUUUCUGGACCAUAACUGACGCUGAGGCACGAAAGCGUGGGUAGCAAACAGG
RNAcentral lists this ribosomal RNA (253 nucleotides) under uncultured bacterium. Its description in RNAcentral is "partial 16S ribosomal RNA". It matches the Rfam family "Bacterial small subunit ribosomal RNA", at positions 524 to 776 of the family's 1533-position model. The record is from RNAcentral.